Molecule: ribosomal RNA, 244 nt
Filed under: uncultured bacterium
Lineage: Bacteria
Description: partial 16S ribosomal RNA
Rfam family: Bacterial small subunit ribosomal RNA
Source: RNAcentral
AAUCAACGCUGGCGGCGUGCCUCAGACAUGCAAGUCGAACGAGAAAGUUUCCUUCGGGAGACGAGUACAGUGGCGUCCGGGUGAGUAACACGUGGGUAAUUUACCUUUGGGUGGGGAAUAGCAGCCGGAAACGGCUAUUAAUACCGCAUAAUGCAGCGGCUCGACAUCGAGACAGUUGUUAAAGCGGGGAUCUGACAAGGACCUCGCGCCUAAAGAGAAGCCUGCGUCAGAUAGCUAGUUGGUA